CUUGGUCAUUUAGAGGAAGUAAAAGUCGUAACAAGGUUUCCGUAGGUGAACCUGCGGAAGGAUCAUUAUCGAAUCGUAGGCGAGGGUUGUCGCUGGCCUCUCGGGGCAUGUGCACGCCCGAGCCCUUGAAUCCCAAACACACAUGUGAACCCACCGUAGGCCUUCGGGCCUAUGUCUUAUCAUAUAAUCCGAAUGUCUAAUAGAAUGUAAACCCAUUUCGUUGCCUUGAAAACGUAACGAAAGAAAACUAUACAACUUUCAACAACGGAUCUCUUGGCUCUCGCAUCGAUGAAGAACGCAGCGAAAUGCGAUAAGUAAUGUGAAUUGCAGAAUUCAGUGAAUCAUCGAAUCUUUGAACGCACCUUGCGCUCCUUGGUAUUCCGAGGAGCAUGCCUGUUUGAGUGUCAUGAAACCAUCAAACUACAAUCGUUUUUUAUGAGCAAUUGCCUGUUUGGACGUUGGAUGCUUGCUGGACAGUUGCAUGACCCAGCUCAUCUGAAAUAUAUUAGCUGAUCUUAAUAUCAUGGAUUAUCCACUUGGCGUGAUAAGUAUCACCCGCUGAGGACUUAUCCGGAAAUAAUAGAUUGCUUCUAGUCAUAGAUACAACUAUUGUAUUAUAUUGAAUCAUCUGACCUCAAAUCAGGUAGGACUACCCGCUGAACUUAAGCAUAUCAAUAAGCGGAGGAA
RNAcentral lists this ribosomal RNA (687 nucleotides) under uncultured fungus. RNAcentral's name for it is "eukaryotic LSU rRNA". The stretch from base 254 to 407 matches the Rfam family "5.8S ribosomal RNA". The record is from RNAcentral. Lineage: Eukaryota; Fungi.